Long non-coding RNA from Anas platyrhynchos (mallard), 2038 nucleotides. RefSeq lists it as uncharacterized. NCBI's taxonomy places the organism in Eukaryota, Metazoa, Chordata, Aves, Anseriformes, Anatidae. The record is from RefSeq and is a predicted model, not a curated record.
AAUAGUUGGCCCACCUGUGAGCUGGGGCUGCAGGAGCUCAUAAAAGCAGAGCAAGCUGCUCUUGCCUGGGAGCCUUUUUGCAUCAAGUUUUCUCCCUUUUUUCUGGAAGUUAAACUCGGAGGAAGCUCAAGAAUUUGGGACAGCAGGCGAGAAGGAAAGAAAGAGGGCGAGAGUCGGGUUAUCUCAUUACCCAUCCGGACCCCGGAACGGGACACGCGCCUGAAUCUGCUCUUCCCCAGCAGUUCAAGGAGGGAGGGUCGCCCGUUUUCCAUAUUAAUGGCAAAAUUACAGCCCUCCCCUCCCCACACACACCUCCUGCAUAUCUCCCUCAGCACGCUGCGGUUAAUAACUCACACUUCAUUAGCAUGUCUGUGCGGCCUCGCAGGUGCUUCCCUUCUGCCGAUGAAGAGAUACCGGGGAGGCUUAGAGGGCUGGGAAUUGGGGCAGGACAAGCCGAAACAGCUGCUGAGAUCAAUUGGGCUGGAUGGGAAGCUAAUGAGCUUUCGGCGCGUGGGACUUCUCAGUGCUCCCGUGCAUAUUUGCUGUGGCAGCCAGCGCAGAGCAAAGGCACCAGGGGGUCACAGCUCCUCGAGAGCUGGGAGGGAAGCAGAGAAGACCCCACCAGCAGCAGAGAUGGUUGUAUUAUCCCACUGCCCAAGGAGCUGGACCAGGGCAGGAAGCCUUUGGUGGCCAUCACAGCCCUCUGCCCGGCUGGAGCAAGGUUCGUGGGGACACCGAAGCCCAUCUGAGCAUCAGUUGUUGGCACAAGGAGCUGCUCCUCCUUGCACAACCCCAGUGGCCAUCAUCAGUGCCCUGCAUUUGUAGGAGAAGCACCAAACUGGCACGUUGUGAAGCUCCAAGCCACCAGCAGGAGCAGCUUUGAAGAAGGGGGUUAAAUGAAGCCCACCCUGGGAGGAGCUGGCCGUACAAGUCCUCCUGCCUGCGUAAAGAAUUUUACAUCGGGAAACUCGUCUCUCGAGCUCGGUUCUCCACACACUGAAACAUUAAUCAACUUUUGAACCAUGUUCCGUAUGAAAUAUUCAUCUUUUCUCCUUGUGAAAAACAAACCAGAACCCCCAGCUAUCUUCAAAGCUGUCUUGUGGCGCUCCAUGCUCUGAUCCUUUAGGAAUUGCUGUGUCAUUUCCACCUAGGUUUAUUCUGUGACUGCUGGAGAGAGAGCUAAAAAUCACUUCCAGAGUGACUUAGCUGGUGUGUCUGGCUUUGCGAGACAAAUGCUUUUUGGCUUAGAAUUUGCUGGCCAGGCCCCGGCCGGUUAUAUUUCCAUUAAGGAGAGAAAAAGGGUUUAAUGCCAUUUUCAAACCUAAUUUCAUGGGUAGCCAAUUCACGCUGUGAUCCAGUGGCAGGUGAUUUCUUUAUUAAAACGUCUGAAAAGAAGGCUGCUUAAAUCAGCCAUCCUUGAAAGGGGAAAGACCAUCCUGCCAGCCUGCCAGCCCUUCAAAGGCCAGAAGUGUUUUCGGGAAGCACGGGAGCCAUGAACCUCGUAGGGAUGAUCCUGCCUUUCAUGGAGACGUGCGAACACAGCCCCAGCAUGGAUCUUCCUCUGAAACUUACUCAGCUACGUGCCCUUGGAUAACAGCCUUUUCCCUAACAAAUAACUGCUAAAAAAAAAAAAAAAUGGCAUAAGAAAAAGUAAUAAAAGGGGAAAAGAAAAAAUCCAUUAUAAAAUGUAGCUUCCAUUAGCAGACCUUAAGGCACUUUUAGAAACGUUGAGUGAAUGGAGUCUUUCCCUUGCCCUAUCUGGGGUAAACAAAUCCAUCCUGUCCUUCAGCUUGAUCUUGCAGUAAUGUCAUAAUCCCACCUUUAUUACAUCACUGUUGUCAUGGAAAUAACUGUGAUUUCAUAAAGUCUCCAUAAUGACUUUACCACAAGAUCCAUUAGGAUGGGAAGAUGGAUUGUGAAGGCUAGAAAAAUGCUUUCUUUAAGCAAAUGCAUGCUGGAUAAUUAGCAAAUGCAGCAAGGGGAAAGAAUGGAAAUUUGAUGGAGAUAAAUAAAUGGAUCCAUCCUUAACAUGGGCUAU